CAGUCAAAUAUUUAUCCCAUGAAGUAACCGCUGCUCACGUCACCCGCUCGCGUCAUCAGCUGAUGGACUCGUCCAAUCAGAGCCUCGUAAACGCCGUGCAGCAGCGUCGAGUGUCCCGCAGACAGGAAGCGGGUCGUGUUUAGCUUGUCCCGUACGAGUGACUCUGUCUUCGGGGUAAAUAACUUGCUGAAAUCGACACGACGCUGUUCCCUGGAGGAGAAGAUGAGUGCGUGUGGAGGCAGAGCCGCGGGCCCGGUGUGGACGAGUCGAGGCGGAGAAGACGGGCGCACAGUCCCUGAGUUACGCCUCAGCCCCCCCCCCCCCACACACACACAAACAAAGAGGCGUUAGGCUGAGUCGCUGAAAGUCCGGAUUUAAAGUGCAGAAAAUUAAGCCAUUGAAUCUGCCUGUCCAUGACGUACAAAGACACACUAUGAGCCAGUAUGAUCCGACCAGACCUUACAUCAGCAUUGAGGAGUUGUCGGAGAAGAAAGAGGCUGAUUGAAGCGGGACAGAUGACAUGGAUCCAUCCUUCCACAGCCAGGAGUGCACCGACCUGUGUCCCACACUUCAUAUAAGACUGGAAGCUACACUGAUCUCACAGCUACACACCACAGACGUCUACACACUGGAGAAGAGUCCCACAAAGAAGUCAUGACCCAGAGGCUGCAGAGAAACAUUUCAAGCCUCAUCUGAGUUUUUGUACAAUAUUUUUGCUGUAUGUAAAUAAAGCUUUCACUCCACAUA
Long non-coding RNA from Limanda limanda (common dab), 747 nucleotides. RefSeq lists it as uncharacterized. The transcript is spliced from 4 exons. The record is from RefSeq and is a predicted model, not a curated record. NCBI's taxonomy places the organism in Eukaryota, Metazoa, Chordata, Actinopteri, Pleuronectiformes, Pleuronectidae.